Long non-coding RNA from Bubalus bubalis (water buffalo), 2342 nucleotides. RefSeq lists it as uncharacterized. The record is from RefSeq and is a predicted model, not a curated record. The transcript has 4 exons. NCBI's taxonomy places the organism in Eukaryota, Metazoa, Chordata, Mammalia, Artiodactyla, Bovidae.
GCAGGGGCUGUGAUGAGGUUAAUGGUGCCUCUGGGAAGGUGAGACCUUGGUGCUGUGGGAACCCAAAAGAAGAGCAUCAGCCUUGCUUUAUUUGGGAACAGCAUCACAGAGAGGUGAGACUGAGCAUCUUGAAGACAUGCAGGGGGUUUCCAGGAUGGAGAGGGCAAGAGCAUUCCAGGCGGAAGUGUAGCAGAGCAGGAUGAGCACAGCCCUUAGCACACAGCUAUUUCUGUGCCUCAUUACUCCACACUGCAUUACUUGGCAACAGGUCUUGCUCAGCCAUUGCUUGGUCUUUCAGUGGGCCCCGCCCACAAGCAACCACCUGUCAAUGAGCGACCAUUACUUGUCAUGCUCAGCUAUUGGUCAGUGCUACAGUGGGCCCCGCCCAAAAGCAGCCAUCUGUCAAUCAGCGAUCCUUAGUUGUCCUGCUCAGCUAUUGGUCAGCGCUGCAGUGAGCCCUGCCUACCAGUAACUGUCAGUGAGGGACCACAGGGGAAGUGAUUCAGUCAAGGGUCACUGGUGUGGUGUCAUCAGGUGGAGAGUGAGGUUAGAGGCAGAUUCAGGCCUGCUCCCAGAGGCCCUACAGCUCACCCAGCCUUGGGCCAGUGGGUGAGCUGGAGGGCCCAGGAACAGACUGGGGAAUACAUCCUGCAGGGGUCCAGCGCCCUCACUAAGGCCCUCCACUAGCCUUAGUCCAGGCCUUGAGGCAAUGAUGAACCGCUCCCUCACUCCUGUCUCUGUGACCUAAUAGCAGAGGCCAUCUGCCUGGGUCACAGUCUGUGAAACUGGUCUCCCCAUUUAGGUGGCCUGAGGAGACUGAGGGCCAGUAGGGUUGGGCGCCUGGCUCCCUCGGGGAUGACAGCUGGGCAGGAGGUGGGAACCUGCCCCUGAAGGAGCUGCCAGCUGAGAUCUGCCUGCACUUAACCAGGACUGGGACCUUAGAGGGUGAAAGCUGUGCCUUGGGACUUUGUCCUUUCUUGGUCAGAACAGAGAAUAACACUUGUUUUGUAGAGAUUUACAGGAAAAUCAUUACGUGACCAUGACCUGACCUCAAGAACAAAGGUUCUGACACCAAAGAAGUUAGCAACAGCUAACAGGAGACAGGAGGGAGGGAGAGGUUCACCGCUGCCCCAAGGCCUGGGCCAAGGCUAGUGGGGGCUUAGUGAGGGUUCUGGAGCCCUGUAAGAUGUAGUCCCCAGCCUGUUCCAGCUCACCCACUGGCCCAGGGCUGUGUGAACUGGAGAGCCUCUGGGAGAAGGCCUGAAUCUGCCACUAACAUCACUAUCCACCUGAUGACCACCACACACUGACCCUUGACUGAAUCACUUCCCCAAUGGUUCCUCAUCGACAGCUGCCAGUAGCUGUACCUCCUCACCUUUUGCUUUUAAAAAGGUGCUUGCCAAAAGGUUUCAGUAACUUUGGGAUUCUUAGGCCAUGAGCCACCCAUCUCCUUGAUGGGCCUCACUGUGCAUCAGACACAUAGACUUGAGAUUCGGUACCAGAAGGAAGACCUUUAAACAAAAGGAACAGAAAGUGUGGCAGAGCUUGAUACCCUCUCGAAGUUUCACUAGCCCAGCAGUAAAGACAUGUUAUGAGAUGGAACAGCAAGAGGUUUAAGAUGAGGUCAACAGGCAAGAUAAAGAAGGCCCUUCAUUGGCAAACUCAGGAGUCUGAACUUCAUUCAACUAGUAAUUGAACGAGUGAUCCCAGCCUGGAGUCCAGGAAUGCCUCAAGAUCCCUUAUGCUUGAUCAGAGGGCAUAUAAUGGGAGAAUCGCUGUAUGGAAAAAGCAAAAAACUGAGAGUCAAACCUGCUAAGACUGGAUCAUACCAACAGUGCCACCUUCCCACCUCAUAGCAAGAAGCAAAUGGCCUAAUCCAAGGAGCAACCGAGGAGGGCUUCUCAGAGGAGUUGACCCACCCAGUGAGCAGGGACCAGCAGAAGAAAGAAUGUCCAGAGAGGAUGUGCACAGGUAAAGAUCCUAAGUGAGGGAAGUUCCAGUUGUGCUGGGCAAAUGGAAAGAAGGUCAGCUCAGAGUGACUACAGGGUUGGAGUCAGAUGAAUAGAGGCACCUCACUAGUAUUACUAUUAUUGCAAGCAGACUGGCUCUGGAGGAACAUGGCUGAAAGGCCCCUUACCACUAUCCUCUCUAAUCUGGAUUCAAAGGCCCGCUGUGGACACCGGGCUAGUUUCUCCUCACCGGGCCACGCCACUGGUGCAUGGUCACUUAAGAGUGGCCAACUCCUCGGCGGGAGGUUCUUGGCAGGAUGCCCGGGCCAGACCGGCUGAGCUUGGCUGAAGCCUGCAGGACCCUGCCACGGGGCUGUCAAUCCGCCCAGCGAU